This 922-nucleotide ribosomal RNA is filed under the name Phlebiopsis darjeelingensis. RNAcentral describes it as "partial large subunit ribosomal RNA". It matches the Rfam family "Eukaryotic large subunit ribosomal RNA", at positions 44 to 952 of the family's 3401-position model. The record is from RNAcentral. Lineage: Eukaryota; Fungi; Basidiomycota; Agaricomycetes; Polyporales; Phanerochaetaceae.
CAAUAAGCGGAGGAAAAGAAACUAACAAGGAUUCCCCUAGUAACUGCGAGUGAAGCGGGAAAAGCUCAAAUUUAAAAUCUGGUAGCCUUCGGUUGCCCGAGUUGUAGUCUGGAGAAGCGUCUUCCGCGCUGGACCGUGUACAAGUCUCUUGGAACAGAGCGUCAUAGAGGGUGAGAAUCCCGUCUUUGACACGGACUACCAGUGCUUUGUGAUGCGCUCUCAAAGAGUCGAGUUGUUUGGGAAUGCAGCUCAAAAUGGGUGGUAAAUUCCAUCUAAAGCUAAAUAUUGGCGAGAGACCGAUAGCGAACAAGUACCGUGAGGGAAAGAUGAAAAGCACUUUGGAAAGAGAGUUAAACAGUACGUGAAAUUGCUGAAAGGGAAACGAUUGAAGUCAGUCGCGUCUUCUAGUACUCAGCCUUCCUUUUGGUUGGUGCAUUUACUAGUCGACGGGCCAGCAUCAGUUUUGGCUGCGGGAUAAAGGUCAGAGGAAUGUGGCACCUUCGGGUGUGUUAUAGCCUCUGGUCAUAUACCGUGGCUGGGACUGAGGAUCUCAGCACGCCUUUAUGGCGGGGGUUCGCCCACCUUCGUGCUUCGGAUGCUGGCGUAAUGGCUUUAAACGACCCGUCUUGAAACACGGACCAAGGAGUCUAACAUGCCUGCGAGUGUUUGGGUGGAAAACCCGAGCGCGUAAUGAAAGUGAAAGUUGGGAUCUCUGUCGUGGAGAGCACCGACGCCCGGACCAGACCUUCUGUGACGGAUCCGCGGUAGAGCAUGUAUGUUGGGACCCGAAAGAUGGUGAACUAUGCCUGAAUAGGGUGAAGCCAGAGGAAACUCUGGUGGAGGCUCGUAGCGAUUCUGACGUGCAAAUCGAUCGUCAAAUUUGGGUAUAGGGGCGAAAGACUAAUCGAACCAUCUAGUAGCU